AUGGACGCGACGAGGGACACAACGCAGUCCUGCUCCGGCGGCCAGGCGGCGCUCGCUGCCAGCCUCGCGAGUCGCCUCGCCGACGACAACGCGGACAGCAACCUGGUGCUCUCGCCGCUGUCCAUCUACGCGGCGCUCGCGCUCCUGGCCGCCGGCGCGCGGGGCGCCACCCUUGACGAGAUCCUGGGCGUCCUCGGCGCGCCGUCUCGCGCCGCGCUCGACGAGUUCCUCUCCCGCGUGGCGGAGGACGCGCUCAAAGACCACUCCGAGUCCGGCGGGCCGCGCGUCGCGUUUGCGUAUGGCGUGUGGACCGACCUCGCGUGCCCGCUGAAGCCAGCCUACCGCCACGCCGCCGUGAGCACGUACAAGGCCGAUGCCAGCACUGUCGACUUCCGCAACAAUCCCGAGGCGGCACGGAGUCAGAUCAACGCGUGGGUCGCGCAGGUCACGAGUAACCUGAUCCGCUCCGUCCUUCGCCCGGGAUCCAUAACGCCGCUCACCCGCGUCGUGCUCGGCAACGCCAUUUACUUCAAGGGCAAGUGGGAGAAGCCCUUCGACAAGGAGGACACCGCCAACAAACCCUUCCACCGGCUCGACGGCCGCACCGUCGACGUGCCCUUCAUGAAGAGCUGGAGUUCCCAGUACAUCGCCGUGCACGAUGGGUUCAAGGUGCUCAAACUCCGGUACCGAAUGGCUCAAGCGCAAGGUAAUCCGUUUGUCCAUUCACAGUCUCGAUCCUUUCAUUCGCGGUUCCUGCACAAGCACCUGCCCAAGGAGAAGAUCGACGUUAGGAAGUUCCGGGUGCCCAAGUUCAAGCUGUCCUUCCACAACAGCCUCGUCACCGUUCUCAAGAAGCUGGGGCUUCAGUUGCCGUUCAGCGACCAAGCCGACCUGUCCGACAUGGUCGAAAUGCCAUUUGUCCUGAGUGACGUUAUCCACAAGGCGGUCAUCGAGGUAAACGAGGAAGGCACCGAAGCUGCAGCCUCCACAUUGAUGCAUAUUGGAGCUGGAUGUUGUGCAAUGCCGCCAUCCCCACCUCCUCCGGUGGAUUUCGUAGCUGACCAUCCGUUUGCGUACUUUAUAGUGGAGGAGGCGACUGGCAUAGUUGUCUUUGCGGGACACGUCGUCGACCCUUCUAACAAGGACUAG
This 1149-nucleotide ribosomal RNA is filed under the name Triticum aestivum (bread wheat). Its description in RNAcentral is "partial small subunit ribosomal RNA". Lineage: Eukaryota; Viridiplantae; Streptophyta; Magnoliopsida; Poales; Poaceae. The record is from RNAcentral.